This 379-nucleotide ribosomal RNA is filed under the name uncultured bacterium. Its description in RNAcentral is "partial 16S ribosomal RNA". It matches the Rfam family "Bacterial small subunit ribosomal RNA", at positions 338 to 734 of the family's 1533-position model. The record is from RNAcentral.
CCUACGGGUGGCAGCAGUGGGGAAUAUUGCUCAAUGGGGGAAACCCUGAUGCAGCGAAGCCGCGUGAGCGAUGAAGUAUUUCGGUGUGUUAAGCUCUAUCAGCAAGGGAGAAAAUGACGGUACGUGACUAAGUAGCUCCGGCUAACUACGUGCCAGCAGCCGCGGUACUACGUAGGGGGCAAGCGUUAUCCGGAUGUACUGGGUGUAAAGGGAGCGUAGACGGCGAUGCAAGCCAGAUGUGAAAGACCGGGGCUCAACCCCGGGACUGCAUUUGAAACUGUGAGGCUGGAGUGUCGGAGAGGCAGGCGGAAUUCCUAGUGUAGCGGUGAAAUGCGUAGAUAUUAGGAGGAACACCAGUGGCGAAGGCGGCCUGCUGGAC